Molecule: long non-coding RNA, 685 nt
Organism: Rosa chinensis
Lineage: Eukaryota; Viridiplantae; Streptophyta; Magnoliopsida; Rosales; Rosaceae
Exons: 7
Source: RefSeq, a predicted model, not a curated record
CCAGCUUGUGUCAAUUCCUGACAUGUUGCUAUAUGUGCAGAUAUCUCCUAGGUCAAGAAGCUAUGCAACUGGUAUUUCAAAUGGCUGUCGAGUUGCCAAUCUUCUUGAAUGAUAAAAGGUUGUUAUCCACAUAAGUAAAAGCACCUGCCCAAGCAAGGCAAAUGGUUCUCAGCCAAAGCCAAAGGUUGCUGGUGUUGAUUGGAAUUUUAACAGUUAGGGAGGAAUUUACAUAUAUAGAAAGUGCUAUCUAGCAACAGGAGUCUAGUGCUUUUCGUUGCCCAUAGUUGAUCAGCUUGACCUAGAAGCAAGUAAAAUAUGUUCAAGAACACAUUCCAAUCUCGGUUUCUCUCCAUUCCAUGUAGCCUUUUGAGCAAACCUUUGCAGAUAUAGGAUAAAGAAGAAGUAUGAUGCUGACCCAGCGGCAAAGAUAGCUGGUGCAACUGUCCUGGGCAUCCAAGUUGGGUGUGGAUUGCAUUCAGGAGAUGAAUCUAGAGCUAAUGUUGCACAAGAUAAUGAACUUGUCCAUCAGAAUCCUCAAGCAUAUGCUACACAAGAUGGAAAUUGGAUUGCUCGUAUUGCAGCAUGACUUGUGGGUGAGGAUUGAACACAAUCUUGUAUACCUUAUGAAAUUGGAAAGCUUAGUUCAAUGAAAUGUUUAAAUGCUUGUAAUGUUGUAUAUGGUGAA